Molecule: transfer RNA, 74 nt
Filed under: Flavobacteriales bacterium
Lineage: Bacteria; Pseudomonadati; Bacteroidota; Flavobacteriia; Flavobacteriales
Description: tRNA-Arg
Rfam family: tRNA
About the family: Transfer RNA (tRNA) molecules are approximately 80 nucleotides in length. Their secondary structure includes four short double-helical elements and three loops (D, anti-codon, and T loops).
Source: RNAcentral
GCACUCUUAGCUCAAUAGGAAAGAGCAACAGUCUUCUAAACUGCAGGUUACAGGUUCAAGUCCCGUAGUGUGCA